Molecule: ribosomal RNA, 589 nt
Filed under: uncultured Gammaproteobacteria bacterium
Lineage: Bacteria; Pseudomonadati; Pseudomonadota; Gammaproteobacteria
Description: bacterial SSU rRNA
Rfam family: Bacterial small subunit ribosomal RNA
Source: RNAcentral
GGGAAUUCGAUUAGAGUUUGAUCAUGGCUCAGAUUGAACGCUGGCGGCAGGCCUAACACAUGCAAGUCGAGCGGUAGAGAGAAGCUUGCUUCUCUUGAGAGCGGCGGACGGGUGAGUAAUGCCUAGGAAUCUGCCUGGUAGUGGGGGAUAACGUUCGGAAACGGACGCUAAUACCGCAUACGUCCUACGGGAGAAAGCAGGGGACCUUCGGGCCUUGCGCUAUCAGAUGAGCCUAGGUCGGAUUAGCUAGUUGGUGGGGUAAUGGCUCACCAAGGCGACGAUCCGUAACUGGUCUGAGAGGAUGAUCAGUCACACUGGAACUGAGACACGGUCCAGACUCCUACGGGAGGCAGCAGUGGGGAAUAUUGGACAAUGGGCGAAAGCCUGAUCCAGCCAUGCCGCGUGUGUGAAGAAGGUCUUCGGAUUGUAAAGCACUUUAAGUUGGGAGGAAGGGCAGUAAAUUAAUACUUUGCUGUUUUGACGUUACCGACAGAAUAAGCACCGGCUAACUCUGUGCCAGCAGCCGCGGUAAUACGAAUCACUAGUGAAUUCGCGGCCGCCUGCAGGUCGACCAUAUGGGAGAGCUCCC